This 164-nucleotide ribosomal RNA is filed under the name Quercus cerris (Turkey oak). Its description in RNAcentral is "5.8S ribosomal RNA". It matches the Rfam family "5.8S ribosomal RNA". From Rfam's summary of the family: 5.8S ribosomal RNA (5.8S rRNA) is a component of the large subunit of the eukaryotic ribosome. It is transcribed by RNA polymerase I as part of the 45S precursor that also contains 18S and 28S rRNA. The record is from RNAcentral. RNAcentral also lists the same sequence under 3 other names. Lineage: Eukaryota; Viridiplantae; Streptophyta; Magnoliopsida; Fagales; Fagaceae.
AAAACGACUCUCGGCAACGGAUAUCUAGGCUCUCGCAUCGAUGAAGAACGUAGCGAAAUGCGAUACUUGGUGUGAAUUGCAGAAUCCCGCGAAUCAUCGAGUUUUUGAACGCAAGUUGCGCCCGAAGCCUUUCGGCCGAGGGCACGUCUGCCUGGGUGUCACAC